Molecule: ribosomal RNA, 253 nt
Filed under: uncultured bacterium
Lineage: Bacteria
Description: partial 16S ribosomal RNA
Rfam family: Bacterial small subunit ribosomal RNA
Source: RNAcentral
UACGAAGGGGGCGAGCGUUGUUCGGAAUUACUGGGCGUAAAGCGCGCGUAGGCGGCUUUGUAAGUUAGAGGUGAAAGCCCGGGGCUCAACCCCGGAACAGCCUUUAAGACUGCAUCGCUAGAAUCCGGGAGAGGUGAGUGGAAUUCCGAGUGUAGAGGUGAAAUUCGUAGAUAUUCGGAAGAACACCAGUGGCGAAGGCGGCUCACUGGACCGGCAUUGACGCUGAGGUGCGAAAGCGUGGGGAGCAAACAGG